AGAGAUUGUUCAUCAUGUCAGAGGGACCUCACCCUCUCACAGUUGUCACGAAUUAUUUACUUGUUCUCAACUAAUAUGCAUGAUGCUUCAUUGUCACUAGGCAUUCAUACGACUUGUGCUUGUCUGAUGUUAAAUCUGGUGGAACCAAUUUUUGAGAAGGGGGUUGAUCAGUCAUCAAUGGAUAUGG
Long non-coding RNA from Hibiscus syriacus, 187 nucleotides. RefSeq lists it as uncharacterized. The record is from RefSeq and is a predicted model, not a curated record. NCBI's taxonomy places the organism in Eukaryota, Viridiplantae, Streptophyta, Magnoliopsida, Malvales, Malvaceae. The transcript is spliced from 3 exons.